Long non-coding RNA from Equus asinus (donkey), 1785 nucleotides. The record is from Ensembl. NCBI's taxonomy places the organism in Eukaryota, Metazoa, Chordata, Mammalia, Perissodactyla, Equidae.
CCUAGGAUGGGAGGAAACCGGUGAAACCCUCGGCCGCAGAAGCAGAGCCCGAGAACUUAACGACUCGGCCACGGGGCUGGCCCCGGAUUUGUUUUUGCCACUUACUAGAUGUGAACUCACCUAGAUCACUCUCUCGGGGAGAAGCCAGUUACCAUGUUAAACAGACACGCAAGCAGCGCUAUGGAGAGACUUAGAUGGUAAAGAACGGAGGCCUUCUGGUGACCACCAGAGAGGAACUGAGGCCUCCUGCAACAGCCUGGUGGAUGGGCCGUCUUAGAAAACGAUUCUUCAGCUCCAGUCAAGCCUCCAGAUAACUGAAGCCCAGGCUGUCACCUCGACUGUGACCCCGUGAGAGAAGCUGAGCCAGAACCACCCAGAGGCAGAAGAGAUGCAGCAGAAGGAGAAGUCAGCGGGAUCCCAAACACGAGAAGGAUUUGCUGCACCGUUGCUGGUCCUGAGAGGUAGGGGGUCACAUGACUGUGUGCUAGAACUGGAGGGACGUCCCUAAAAGCUAAAAGGUGACUGACUGACAGCCAGCAAGGAGACUGGGACGUGAAUAAGCUUGGAAGCAAAUUUUCCCCCAGAACUUCCAGGCUCAUCUUAGCACUGAAUAAUAGCAGCUGUUGAAACAACCUCCACAGCUGAGACAGACGUGCAUUUCUGUGACAUAAAGCAAGAGGCCACAUUCUGACCUGCUCUGGUGAUGAAGAAAUGCUCUUGGAGUUGAGUGCCAGCCCAAUUUUACUGGUGUGGGACACAUCAUUGUGGAAUGGUGGCCGCAGCCAUUCGAUAUUUGAGAUUCCCUCUGGGAGCGAGGAGACGGAAGGGGAGCGUUUGAAGAGGCUGAAGGAGACCUGGAGAGAGAGGUGUCACAAAAGCCAAGUGAAGAGAGGGGCAACAGAAGGAAUGCCAAUUAUGAAAUUAGCCGAGAGUUUAGGCCCAAGAGGCCACUGGCCAAUUAGGGUCUCGCUGGUCAUCUUACAGAGAGCUUCCACCCAAGUCCUGGAGGGAAGAAGCCAGAAGGACAGGUAAAGGCAAAACGAUUGGAGCCCAGUAAUUAGGCUCUUCUAAAAAGAGCAUAAUUCUCUAAGUAGAGAAAGAGACUCAGAAGAGGCUGGAGCAGAUUAACAUAAGAUUAUUCACGAGACACCAAGGCUGGCAAUUUCCUUUCAUUUGUUUUAACCUGUGCUCUGGUCGGAGAGGCCAGUUUCUCUCCAUUUUGUUUCUGAUCUUUGUUUUCCUCUUCCCAUUGUUCUUCUGAGAAAACGAUUCUAUGGGUCUUUAUUAAUAAUUUAUUUUAUACCCUAAAUCAGAAAUAAGACGUUUCUUCAUUUUGCUGUGAAAAUUCCCAGUUCUUAAUAAAUUGUUGAAUUUUUCAUGAGACUCUGCCUUGGGGAAAACCUAUUCCAUGAUACAGUUCUUGAAUGAGAAACACAAAUGUAGACAAUUACAUAAUUAUAAGAAGACAAUUUUACCUCUCCUGUACGACAAUUUAAAUCCUUAGAACAUGACAUGAUUUCACUAAAAAAAAAAACGAGUCUCCUAACUCUCUGGUUCCUUGUUGUAUCUCAGAUCCAGGCAUAGUGCCUUGCACUCAACAAAUAUUCAUCAGUGAAUUAAAGACAUCACCCACUUGGUAUUAAUCACAUGUUGCUUUGUAUUGAAAAUGAAUAUGUUUAGAUCUCACUUCAAAUGAGUACGUUUCUUAAGUGACUAUGUUUAAGACUCCAUCACCAGAUUUUGGUAUCCCUGAGGUCAGGAUCUAUAAAUUUUCUCUCUUUGCAG